AGAGUUUGAUCAUGGCUCAGAUUGAACGCUGGCGGCAGGCCUAACACAUGCAAGUCGAACGGUAACAGGAAGCAGCUUGCUGCUUCGCUGACGAGUGGCGGACGGGUGAGUAAUGUCUGGGAAACUGCCUGAUGGAGGGGGAUAACUACUGGAAACGGUGGCUAAUACCGCAUAACGUCGCAAGACCAAAGAGGGGGACCUUCGGGCCUCUUGCCAUCAGAUGUGCCCAGAUGGGAUUAGCUAGUUGGUGAGGUAACGGCUCACCAAGGCGACGAUCCCUAGCUGGUCUGAGAGGAUGACCAGCCACACUGGAACUGAGACACGGUCCAGACUCCUACGGGAGGCAGCAGUGGGGAAUAUUGCACAAUGGGCGCAAGCCUGAUGCAGCCAUGCCGCGUGUAUGAAGAAGGCCUUCGGGUUGUAAAGUACUUUCAGCGGGGAGGAAGGUGUUGUGGUUAAUAACCACAGCAAUUGACGUUACCCGCAGAAGAAGCACCGGCUAACUCCGUGCCAGCAGCCGCGGUAAUACGGAGGGUGCAAGCGUUAAUCGGAAUUACUGGGCGUAAAGCGCACGCAGGCGGUCUGUCAAGUCGGAUGUGAAAUCCCCGGGCUCAACCUGGGAACUGCAUUCGAAACUGGCAGGCUUGAGUCUUGUAGAGGGGGGUAGAAUUCCAGGUGUAGCGGUGAAAUGCGUAGAGAUCUGGAGGAAUACCGGUGGCGAAGCCGGCCCCCUGGAAAAAGACUGACGCUCAGGUGCGAAAGCGUGGGGAGGAACCAGGAUUAAAUGCCCUGGUCGGCCACGCCGUAAACGAUGUCUACUUGGAGGUUGUGCCCUUGAGGCGUGGCUUCCGGAGCUAACGCGUUAAGUAGACCGCCUGGGGAGUACGGCCGCAAGGUUAAAACUCAAAUGAAUUGACGGGGGCCCGCACAAGCGGUGGAGCAUGUGGUUUAAUUCGAUGCAACGCGAAGAACCUUACCUGGUCUUGACAUCCACAGAACUUUCCACGGAUGGAUUUGUGCCUUCGGGAACUGUGAGACAGGUGCUGCA
Molecule: ribosomal RNA, 1048 nt
Filed under: Salmonella enterica subsp. enterica serovar Manhattan
Lineage: Bacteria; Pseudomonadati; Pseudomonadota; Gammaproteobacteria; Enterobacterales; Enterobacteriaceae
Description: bacterial SSU rRNA
Rfam family: Bacterial small subunit ribosomal RNA
Source: RNAcentral